AAAGUCGUAACAAGGUUUCCGUAGGUGAACCUGCGGAAGGAUCAUUAAUGAAUAACUAUGGUGGGUUGUUGCUGGCUUUUCAAAGCAUGUGCACACCUGCUGUCUUUAUCUAUCCCAUUGUGCACACUUUGUAGUCUUGGAGGGGAAUGUGAGUUUCACCUCCUUUCCAGGUCUAUGUAUUUUCCACACACAUUAUAGCAUGUCAUAGAAUGUAAUCAUUGGGCCUUUGUGCCUAUAAAACUUUAUACAACUUUCAGCAACGGAUCUCUUGGCUCUC
RNAcentral lists this unclassified non-coding RNA (277 nucleotides) under Basidiomycota sp. RNAcentral describes it as "partial contains small subunit ribosomal RNA, internal transcribed spacer 1, and 5.8S ribosomal RNA". The stretch from base 1 to 47 matches the Rfam family "Eukaryotic small subunit ribosomal RNA", at positions 1785 to 1831 of the family's 1831-position model. The record is from RNAcentral. Lineage: Eukaryota; Fungi; Basidiomycota.